RNAcentral lists this long non-coding RNA (956 nucleotides) under Bactrocera tryoni. RNAcentral describes it as "uncharacterized LOC120781671". The record is from RNAcentral. Lineage: Eukaryota; Metazoa; Arthropoda; Insecta; Diptera; Tephritidae.
AAGAAAUAAUCUGAAACCUUUGUAUAAUGAGUGCAUCAGAAUUAGAAGAAAAGGUCAAAGCUAAGCGCUUCCGGGCAGCACCAACACAUCGUUGGAUCAGUGAGCAAACUAUAUAUAUAUAGAAGCCUUUUAGAGGAAGUGCGCGGAGAAAUAAAAGACCGCCCGGAGUCAUUUGAGAAGCCUAUUGCACAAAAAUUUUAUUCGAAAAUAUCUGCUAAGUGCCCUUUGCUCGCAAACAUUAAUUGGAAAGUGAUGAAAAGCAAAAUGCGCUAUUUAAAAGGAAUAUAUAUGGAGGCCGUGAAAUGGCGUAGUCAAACUGGAGCUGGAUUAAUUGAAAAUGGAGAAGAAGAAAGCGUCAAGGACUACAUUCAAAAUAUUUGUCCCUUCUUCGAAAUACUGGACGAGAUUUUUGGGCUCAGAAAGUGCGUGAACCCUACGGUUAUAAUUGAGAGUAUCAAUAUAGAAGUCCUCUAUGAAGAUAACGAGGAGGUUUUUUUAUUUGAUAAUGUUUAUGAUAUUUCAAAUAGUUGCUCGAGUUCACGUAUAUCAGCCACUAUACUAUAUAUACUCCUAUUCCGCCCGAUACUCCACAGCCAGACGUUCAUUUAUCACUGGAAUUAUCAUCGAACAAUGCAAGCAGCUUCAACGGCGACUCGGAGAUUGAGAAUUUAAAAAAAAGAAUGACAUCGAAACACAGCCUAAAGAAAAAGCAAAAUCCAAAUGCAAGCUCUGCCGGCGUAUUACAAGGAAUGCUUGAAGCAAAAUUGGACUUGGAGAAGCAAAAAUUUGACUGGAUGAAAGAAAAAGAAAAACAGGAAUUGGAGAUGAAAAAGCUAGAAAUUGAACGUGAUGAACGACUUGCUUUGGCGAAAAUGAAAUUAGAAAAUGAAAGAGAAGAAAAACUCAAAAUGUACGAACUAGAGUUAAAAUAUAAAAAAGCAUAAGAACUUUUUAAU